AGCAACGCCGCGUGAAGGAUGAAAUCCCUCGGGAUGUAAACUUCGCAAGAACAGGAAGAAUAAGUAAGAGUUAAUAUCUCUUACGAUGACGGUACUGUUUGUAAGCUCCGGCUAACUCCGUGCCAGCAGCCGCGGUAAUACGGGGGGAGCAAGCGUUGUUCGGGUUUACUGGGCGUAAAGGGCGCGUAGGCGGCCACCGCAAGUCGACUGUGAAAUCUCCGGGCUUAACCCGGAAAGGUCAGCCGAUACUGCGGGGCUAGAGUGCAGAAGGGGCAACUGGAAUUCUCGGUGUAGCGGUGAAAUGCGUAGAUAUCGAGAGGAACACCUGCGGCGAAGGCGGGUUGCUGGGCUGACACUGACGCUGAGGCGCGAAAGCUAGGGGAGCGAACGGGAUUAGAUACCCCGGUAGUCCUAGCCUUAAGCGAUGAAUGCUUGGUGUCUGGGGUUUUUAUAGUCCCCGGGUGCCGUCGCUAACGCUUUAAGCAUUCCGCCUGGGGAGUACGGUCGCAAGACUG
This 515-nucleotide ribosomal RNA is filed under the name uncultured Acidobacteriota bacterium. Its description in RNAcentral is "bacterial SSU rRNA". It matches the Rfam family "Bacterial small subunit ribosomal RNA", at positions 390 to 896 of the family's 1533-position model. Lineage: Bacteria; Pseudomonadati; Acidobacteriota. The record is from RNAcentral.